This 463-nucleotide ribosomal RNA is filed under the name Vreelandella stevensii. RNAcentral describes it as "partial 16S ribosomal RNA". It matches the Rfam family "Bacterial small subunit ribosomal RNA", at positions 338 to 794 of the family's 1533-position model. The record is from RNAcentral. Lineage: Bacteria; Pseudomonadati; Pseudomonadota; Gammaproteobacteria; Oceanospirillales; Halomonadaceae.
CCUACGGGUGGCAGCAGUGGGGAAUAUUGGACAAUGGGCGAAAGCCUGAUCCAGCCAUGCCGCGUGUGUGAAGAAGGCCUUCGGGUUGUAAAGCACUUUCAGUGGGGAAGAAAGCCUUGGGGCUAAUACCCUCGAGGAAGGACAUCACCCACAGAAGAAGCACCGGCUAACUCCGUGCCAGCAGCCGCGGUAAUACGGAGGGUGCGAGCGUUAAUCGGAAUUACUGGGCGUAAAGCGCGCGUAGGCGGUCUGAUAAGCCGGUUGUGAAAGCCCCGGGCUCAACCUGGGAACGGCAUCCGGAACUGUCAGGCUAGAGUGCAGGAGAGGAAGGUAGAAUUCCCGGUGUAGCGGUGAAAUGCGUAGAGAUCGGGAGGAAUACCAGUGGCGAAGGCGGCCUUCUGGACUGACACUGACGCUGAGGUGCGAAAGCGUGGGUAGCAAACAGGAUUAGAUACCGGGUAGU